RNAcentral lists this ribosomal RNA (429 nucleotides) under Chloroflexota bacterium. RNAcentral's name for it is "Chloroflexi bacterium partial 16S ribosomal RNA". It matches the Rfam family "Bacterial small subunit ribosomal RNA", at positions 355 to 776 of the family's 1533-position model. Lineage: Bacteria; Bacillati; Chloroflexota. The record is from RNAcentral.
UGGGGAAUAUUGCACAAUGGGCGCAAGCCUGAUGCAGCCAUGCCGCGUGUGUGAAGAAGGCCUUCGGGUUGUAAAGCACUUUCAGCGGGGAGGAAGGCGGUGAGGUUAAUAACCUCAUCGAUUGACGUUACCCGCAGAAGAAGCACCGGCUAACUCCGUGCCAGCAGCCGCGGUAAUACGGAGGGUGCAAGCGUUAAUCGGAAUUACUGUGCGUAAAGCGCACGCAGGCGGUAUGUCAAGUCGGAUGUGAAAUCCCCGGGCUCAACCUGGGAACUGCAUUCGAAACUGGCAGGCUAGAGUCUUGUAGAGGGGGGUAGAAUUCCAGGUGUAGCGGUGAAAUGCGUAGAGAUCUGGAGGAAUACCGGUGGCGAAGGCGGCCCCCUGGACAAAGACUGACGCUCAGGUGCGAAAGCGUGGGGAGCAAACAGG